UGGGUAACCUGCCUUAUAGUGGGGGAUAGCCUUUCGAAAGGAAGAUUAAUACCGCAUAAGAUUGUAGUAUCGCAUGAUAUAGCAAUUAAAGGAGCAAUUCGCUAUAAGAUGGACCCGCGUCGCAUUAGCUAGUUGGUGAGGUAAUGGCUCACCAAGGCGACGAUGCGUAGCCGACCUGAGAGGGUGAUCGGCCACAUUGGGACUGAGACACGGCCUAGACUCCUACGGGAGGCAGCAUG
Molecule: ribosomal RNA, 239 nt
Filed under: uncultured bacterium
Lineage: Bacteria
Description: partial 16S ribosomal RNA
Rfam family: Bacterial small subunit ribosomal RNA
Source: RNAcentral